This 501-nucleotide unclassified non-coding RNA is filed under the name Hevea brasiliensis (rubber tree). The record is from RNAcentral. Lineage: Eukaryota; Viridiplantae; Streptophyta; Magnoliopsida; Malpighiales; Euphorbiaceae.
GAAAACACAAGCAUCUAUUAUUCAUGUUUACUCACACUCCAAACAAGAUAAAAUCGUCUCUCCCACAAGAAUAGUUCUCUCAUCGUUUACUUAGGGUAACCAGCAGGGGGAUAACCAGGCGGCGGAUAACCGCCAGCCUGUGGGUAACCAGCCUGAGGAUACGCUGGCGGUGGAUAACCUUGGGCCGGGCCCUGAGGCGGAGGGUAGCCAUAGGGUUGGCCAUAUGCCGGCUGAGGCGCAUAUCCUGCAUGGGGCGGAAUUGGCUGAUCUAAGCGCGACAUUUGCUGGACCUGAGGCACUGCCAUCACCGGUUGUGGCCCAAACUUCCCAUCUCUCUUGUCCAUCUCGACCUUGUGUUGUGUCUGCAUGCAUGCACAGACCGAGCAGUAGACAACAUCAGACAAGCAGUUCAGUAUUUGGGAUGCUUCUGAGAGCUCUUCACUUCCAACGAUCAUCGCGACAAUCGAGAAAAUACAUGCAAGUUGUUGUAGGCAAAACAUG